UUGAGUGCCAACACAAUGGCUCCAAUAUCAGUCGAAUCUCUCUAUGAUGAUGUGGACUUCAGGAGUACUAUAACACGUGAGAAGUUUGAAGAGCUAUGUGAAGAUUUGUGGGAUAGAUCUCUUAUACCUCUAAAGGAAGUGCUUAAUCAUUCAGGGCUGAAGACGGAUGAAAUAUAUGCAGUAGAGCUUAUAGGAGGGGCUACCAGAGUGCCCAAGUUGCAGUCCAAGAUCCAGGAAUUUCUUGGAAGGAAUGAGCUGGACAAACAUCUGGAUGCUGAUGAGGCUAUAGUUCUUGGUGCAGCUCUGCAUGCUGCAAAUAUAAGUGAUGGGAUCAAGUUGAAUCGCAAGCUAGGAGUGGUUGAUGGCUCUUCCUAUGGAUUUGUGGUUGAGUUAGAUGGGCCUGAUCUUCUGAAAGAUGACAGCACUAGGCAGUUACUCAUGCCGAGGAUGAAAAAACUCCCCAGCAAGAUGUUCAGAUCCAUUAUCCAUGACAAAGAUUUUGAAGUUUUGCUUGCAUAUGAGACUGAAGAUUUUUUACCACCUGGCACUAUCUCUCCCAUAUUUGCUCAGUAUGCUGUUUCUGGUGUGACAGAUGCUAGUGAGAAAUAUUCAGCUCGAAAUUUGUCCUCUCCCAUCAAGACAAAUCUGCACUUUUCUCUGAGUAGAAGUGGAAUUCUUUCUCUUGAUCGAGCAGAUGCUGUUAUUGAAAUAUCAGAAUGGGUGGAAGUUCCUAAAAAGAAUCUGACAAUAGAAAAUACAACUGCUACCUCUCCCAAUGUAUCCAUUCAAUCUGGGGCUAACAAUGUUAAGGAUGAAAGCAUUGAAAACCUUCAUUCUGAUGGUGGGGUUGGCAAUGCAUCAAACUCUAAUGUUGAAGAACCAAGUGCCAUUGAGCUGGGUACAGAAAAAAAGCUGAAAAAGAGGACAUUUAGGGUUCCACUUGAGAUUGUUGAGAAGACAGCAGGGCCUGGAAUGCCUCUAUCUGAAGAAUCCUUAUCUGAAGCCAAAAGGAAAUUAGAAGCAUUAGACAAAAAGGAUGCUGAGCGAAGGAGGACUGCUGAGCUGAAAAAUAACUUGGAAGGAUAUAUAUAUUCUACUAAGGAAAAGCUUGAAAUCUCUGAGGAGUUUCAGAAAAUAUCUUCCCAUGAAGAACGUAAAUCUUUCAUUGAAAAGCUUGAUGA
RNAcentral lists this unclassified non-coding RNA (1181 nucleotides) under Hevea brasiliensis (rubber tree). The record is from RNAcentral. Lineage: Eukaryota; Viridiplantae; Streptophyta; Magnoliopsida; Malpighiales; Euphorbiaceae.